This is a long non-coding RNA of Acanthochromis polyacanthus (spiny chromis), 972 nucleotides long. RefSeq lists it as uncharacterized. NCBI's taxonomy places the organism in Eukaryota, Metazoa, Chordata, Actinopteri, Pomacentridae. The record is from RefSeq and is a predicted model, not a curated record. The transcript has 2 exons.
UUCCGGUGAGGCGACAGGGCGUCCCAUUCCUGACGAUCGUAUUUAUACCCUCCCCCUUCAAUAAUAGGUGCCCUCCACAGCUGUGAGUGUGACUUCUUUUGGAGUGACACUCGGUAGUGGAGGGGGAGUGUGUAGGGGGGUUUGGGAUUCAGACCCGGAGUUACGCGCGUGCACCGCAACUCUGAAAAGACAGCAUCAAUGGAACCCCGAUUCGACGAGUCACCAUGGAAACGGGGAAACGGGGAAGCGAAAGGCUGCGUUUUUGAACUGAAAGUUUUUAACGCGCUCAUAUGGCGAGUUUGAACACGUUUUUAGAAAGAAGUGCAACACCGCUGCAGCUGUAAAAGAGAGAGAGACGGCGUGGAGAACAGCCCGGAUCAAUGCCACAGACCUUGUAACUGUAAGUAGGCAACACUCCACAGAUUUCUCCAAAUGGUAGUUUAAGUUUACUGAAACAUGUCACUGAUCUAGGAUGAAGAGGAUGAAACUGUGUCUGCUGCCUUUACAGAGGGGGAUCCAGAAAGACAUACAGAGCUAUGUUACUGAUAGUUCUCUUCUCAUUCACAUUUUGGGUGGAAUAUAGAGUGUGACAUUUAGCCUACACUGAAGUAUUGCACAUUCUCAUCCUUUUUAACAGAGCAUGGCUGGACAGCAGCAGGAUGGUUCCUCAGCUUCCACUGCACAGACUGACACAGUGAGAUGGAUGUUCAGGAAACACCAGAGCUUCAUUCUGUGGAAUUUAUGUGCAACUGUAUAAUUGAAUGUCCUCUAUGUAUUCCCAGUUAUCAGUAAAACAGAUUUACAAACUGCAUUUGCUGAGAAAAAUCCAAAAAACAGAUUAGGAGGACAGAUCUGGAAAUUGAAAUAGUGGAGCACAAGUUAGAGGUGGUGAUGGUCACAGGUGAAUUAUGUUAACUACUGGAACAUGAACUGAACUGUUUAUUUGUAGGAAAUAAAGAAGAGCAAAUGAAA